Molecule: ribosomal RNA, 253 nt
Filed under: uncultured bacterium
Lineage: Bacteria
Description: partial 16S ribosomal RNA
Rfam family: Bacterial small subunit ribosomal RNA
Source: RNAcentral
UACGGAGGGGGCUAGCGUUGUUCGGAAUUACUGGGCGUAAAGCGCGCGUAGGCGGCUUUGUAAGUUAGAGGUGAAAGCCCGGAGCUCAACUCCGGAACUGCCUUUAAGACUGCAUCGCUAGAAUUGUGGAGAGGUAAGUGGAAUUCCGAGUGUAGAGGUGAAAUUCGUAGAUAUUCGGCGGAACACCAGUGGCGAAGGCGACUCACUGGCCCGAUACUGACGCUGAGGCGCGAAAGCGUGGGGAGCAAACAGG